GCGAGCAACUCUGGAGAGACCGGUCCAACCCGGCGCCGAAGGUGCAAGCAGCGUCUCCACCCUCCCCCGGGUGCUGCAAACUCUCAGGCAAAAGGACAGAGGGGCGCCU
RNAcentral lists this non-coding RNA (109 nucleotides) under Aerolutibacter daejeonensis. Its description in RNAcentral is "Lysobacter daejeonensis Glycine sequence". It matches the Rfam family "Glycine riboswitch aptamer". From Rfam's summary of the family: This family represents the bacterial glycine riboswitch. Glycine riboswitches usually consist of two metabolite-binding aptamers domains with similar structures in tandem. The aptamers cooperatively bind glycine to regulate the expression of downstream genes. RNAcentral also lists the same sequence under 1 other name. Lineage: Bacteria; Pseudomonadati; Pseudomonadota; Gammaproteobacteria; Lysobacterales; Lysobacteraceae. The record is from RNAcentral.